GGUUCAAUGGUCUAGUGGUUAUGAUUUCUGUCUCACAUUGCAAUAUGCCAUUCGAGUAGUGGUCACAGAAGGUCUCCAGUUCGAUCCUGGAUUGAACCA
This is a non-coding RNA of Termitomyces sp. Mi166#008, 99 nucleotides long. The record is from the annotation of a GenBank genome assembly. NCBI's taxonomy places the organism in Eukaryota, Fungi, Basidiomycota, Agaricomycetes, Agaricales, Lyophyllaceae.